UAAUAUAUUUAGUAUACUUGACUUCCAAUCAAAAAGUUUAAUAAUUUUAAUAUAAAUAAUU
RNAcentral lists this transfer RNA (61 nucleotides) under Zinaida nascens. RNAcentral describes it as "tRNA-Gly". The record is from RNAcentral. Lineage: Eukaryota; Metazoa; Arthropoda; Insecta; Lepidoptera; Hesperiidae.